This 492-nucleotide ribosomal RNA is filed under the name uncultured bacterium. Its description in RNAcentral is "partial 16S ribosomal RNA". It matches the Rfam family "Bacterial small subunit ribosomal RNA", at positions 29 to 507 of the family's 1533-position model. The record is from RNAcentral.
AGUGAACGCUGGCGGUAGGCCUAACACAUGCAAGUCGAACGGCAGCACAGUAAGAGCUUGCUCUUACGGGUGGCGAGUGGCGGACGGGUGAGGAAUACAUCGGAAUCUACUUUUUCGUGGGGGAUAACGUAGGGAAACUUACGCUAAUACCGCAUACGACCUACGGGUGAAAGCAGGGGAUCUUCGGACCUUGCGCGAUUGAAUGAGCCGAUGUCGGAUUAGCUAGUUGGCGGGGUAAAGGCCCACCAAGGCGACGAUCCGUAGCUGGUCUGAGAGGAUGAUCGGCCACACUGGAACUGAGACACGGUCCAGACUCCUACGGGAGGCAGCAGUGGGGAAUAUUGGACAAUGGGCGCAAGCAUGAUCCAGCCAUACCGCGUGGGUGAAGAAGGCCUUCGGGUUGUAAAGCCCUUUUGUUGGGAAAGAAAAGCAGCAGGUUAAUACCCAGCUGUUCUGACGGUACCCAAAGAAUAAGCACCGGCUAACUUCGUG